This is a long non-coding RNA of Lycium barbarum (goji berry), 1102 nucleotides long. RefSeq lists it as uncharacterized. Lineage: Eukaryota; Viridiplantae; Streptophyta; Magnoliopsida; Solanales; Solanaceae. The transcript is spliced from 2 exons. The record is from RefSeq and is a predicted model, not a curated record.
CCCAAUGUAGGUCCGCCCCUGUGAGUGCAUACCAGUUAAGGUAUAAGACUGAGUAGACAUUAAUUCACUUAGAUCUGUCUUAAGCACUCCUCAUUCGUAGACAAAUUUGUGAAGAAAUUUGUUAUGUUCAGUUCAUCUUCCAAUUUAGCUCCUUCAAGCUGCUUCUCAUAUCAUUUGUUGGUUCUCCCUUUAUACAAUACUUCAAUUUUGAACGUAUGAUCAUUCCUUUCAGCUCAUCAGACUUGCUCAUUCUUUUCUUUCAAAAUUCAGGUUCUCAAUGAUGAUUUUGGGAUGACACAUGAUGUUAGGUGUAUUUAUACACUUUUCCGCUAUCUUUUACCCAUACUUAUACUGUAUUUUAGAGCUAAAUGCAUUAAAUACACCUAAUAUCUAUUAACUAUGUGAUAUGGGACUAAUUUGUGCUUUAUUGUGGAAUCUAGGUGGUUUAAGUUGAAAAUGCUACAGUGUGAAGAUGAAGAGAUUUGGAGCAAAAUUGAAGAAGAGGAAAAAGAAAAGAAGGUCACGUUGAAGUCUUUGGGGUACAACAAGAACCAAUGAAGGGCAAUCCGAGCAAUUUUGGCUGAUUCUGAGGCAGUGCGGGUUGGACGAGUGAGCGGAAGGAGGUUGCAACACUUGAAGGCAAAAUACGACCACUGAAAGGUCUCAUGCAUUGGUUGUGCGUCGCACAUCCAGCGCACAAAAUACCCCUUUCUGAUUUUCAGACCUGUUAUGCAUUGGCUGUGCGGAGCACAGCGGAUGCACAGACAUAGUCAUGCGAUGGCCAUGCAACGCAUGACCAAAGCACAAGAGGCGUCAGUUCUCCUAAGUUGAUCGGGAUUGGGCCCACUUAUCUCACAUUUGCCCUAGCUUAUAAAUAGGCGUUUUUACAUUAGAAUGGAGGACUUUGUACCUAGAGAGAGUAGGAGCCGCCGUGGAGGCCGGAGAUUAUUGGGUUUUAUCUUUUCUUCUCCUUAUUACUAGUUUGUAUAUUUUUUUUGAAUGAUUUGUUACUUUUCCUCCAUGUCUAUGUGGAGCUAAACUUCUCAUUCUAGGGUUGUGGUAAACCAUGAUUAUUGAUGUUUGGUGAUUAUUUCUUAUCUUA